Molecule: ribosomal RNA, 113 nt
Filed under: Caerostris darwini
Lineage: Eukaryota; Metazoa; Arthropoda; Arachnida; Araneae; Araneidae
Source: RNAcentral
AACGGCCGUACCAUGCUGAAUAUACCGGUUCUCGUUAGAUCACCGAAGUUAAGCAUCAUUGGGCGCGGCCAGUACUUGGGUGGGUGACCACCUGGGAACACUACGUGCCGCUG